ACGAAAUUCGAAUCCCAACAGGAAGUCAGUUAUUUUGAAUUUUCUCUGCAAAAUUUGUGUCGUUUUUGCCAUUUUCAGGGGUUGUACUUUAACGAACUCCUCCUAGAGAUUUAUUCAGAUCAACACCAAACUUUGUCAGUGUAAUCUAAAGGCCUUUGCGAUGUUAAAUUGCGAAGAUCUUGAGGUUUCGUUUAAGGGCGUGUCUGUGGCGGCCUUACAAAUUUCGAUGUCUCGCCAUGGGAAUAAAAGUUAUUGUAACUCAGGCAUAAAAUGUCCGAUCUUGCCCAAACUUCACAUGUUUGAUAAGAGUCCUGGCCUGAACACAUCUGAAGGCCAAUAUUCCAUUGGGUGUGGCAAAAUGCCUCGAUAGCGCCACCUAUACAUUUUCAACGGAGUGCGCCUCGAGCUACGUUUCACGUACAUGUAGAAAAAUUGGUACACACAUAUAACACACCAAUACCUACAAAAAAGUCUCUUGGUACGAAAUUCGAAUCCCAACAGGAAGUCAGUUAUUUUGAAUUUUCUCUGCAAAAUUUGUGUCGUUUUUGCCAUUUUCAGUGGUUGUACUUUAACGAACUCCUCCUAGAGAUUUAUUCAGAUCAACACCAAACUUUGUCAGUGUAAUCUAAAGGCCUUUGCAAUGUUAAAUUGCGAAGAUCUUGAGGUUUCGUUUAAGGGCGUGUCUGUGGCGGCCUUACAAAUUUUGAUGUUUCGCCAUG
This is a long non-coding RNA of Cyprinus carpio carpio, 719 nucleotides long. The record is from Ensembl. Lineage: Eukaryota; Metazoa; Chordata; Actinopteri; Cypriniformes; Cyprinidae.